AAAAUUAACAUAAAAUAUAUUAUUCAUUUCAGGGGUACAGGUCUGUGAUUCAUCAGUCCUAUACAAUUCACAGUGCUCCCCAUAGCGCACACCCUCCCCAGUGUCCAUCACCCGGCCACCCCAUCCCUCCCACCUCCCUCCCCUCCAGCAACCCUCAGAAAAAGACAAUUAUCAUAUGAUCUCCCUGAUAUGAGGAAGUUUAGAAGCAAUAUGGGGGAUUUGGGGGCUAAGAAAAGAACAAAUGAAACAAGAUGGGAUCGGGAGGGAGACAAACCAUAAGAGAUUCUUAAUCUCACAAAA
Mustela erminea (ermine) is the source of this 300-nucleotide long non-coding RNA. RefSeq lists it as uncharacterized. NCBI's taxonomy places the organism in Eukaryota, Metazoa, Chordata, Mammalia, Carnivora, Mustelidae. The record is from RefSeq and is a predicted model, not a curated record. The transcript is spliced from 3 exons.